RNAcentral lists this non-coding RNA (27 nucleotides) under Mus musculus (house mouse). The record is from RNAcentral. Lineage: Eukaryota; Metazoa; Chordata; Mammalia; Rodentia; Muridae.
AGAUUUUCAACUCAAAGGACCGGCAAA